GAAAUGCGAUAAGUAAUGUGAAUUGCAGAAUUCAGUGAAUCAUCGAAUCUUUGAACGCACCUUGCGCUCCUUGGUAUUCCUUGGAGCAUGCCUGUUUGAGUAUCAUGAAAUCUUCAAAGUAAAUCUUUUGUUAACUCAAUUGGUUUCUACUUUGGUAUUGGAGGUCUUUGCAGCUUCACACCUGCUCCUCUUUGUUCAUUAGCUGGAUCUCAGUGUUAUGCUUGGUUCCACUCGGCGUGAUAAGUUAUCUAUCGCUGAGGACACUGUAAAAGGUGGCCAAGGUAAAUGCAGAUGAACCGCUUCUAAUAGUCCAUUGACUUGGACAAUACUUUUAUGAUCUGAUCUCAAAUCAGGUGGGACUACCCGCUGAACUUAAGC
Molecule: unclassified non-coding RNA, 378 nt
Filed under: plant metagenome
Description: partial contains 5.8S ribosomal RNA, internal transcribed spacer 2, and large subunit ribosomal RNA
Rfam family: 5.8S ribosomal RNA (bases 1-105)
Source: RNAcentral